RNAcentral lists this ribosomal RNA (464 nucleotides) under uncultured bacterium. Its description in RNAcentral is "partial 16S ribosomal RNA". It matches the Rfam family "Bacterial small subunit ribosomal RNA", at positions 29 to 507 of the family's 1533-position model. The record is from RNAcentral.
ACGAACGCUGGCGGCGUGCUUAACCCCUGCAAGUCGAACGGUGAACUCCGCUUGCGGGGGGAUCAGUGGCGAACGGGUGAGUAACACGUGGGCAACCUGCCCUCAGCUCUGGGAUAACUCCAAGAAAUUGGGGCUAAUACCGGAUAUGACCGCUGACCGCAUGGUCUGGUGGUGGAAAGAUUUAUCGGCUGGGGAUGGGCCCGCGGCCUAUCAGCUUGUUGGUGGGGUAGUGGCCUACCAAGGCGACGACGGGUAGCCGGCCUGAGAGGGUGACCGGCCACACUGGGACUGAGACACGGCCCAGACUCCUACGGGAGGCAGCAGUGGGGAAUAUUGCGCAAUGGGCGAAAGCCUGACGCAGCGACGCCGCGUGGGGGAUGACGGCCUUCGGGUUGUAAACCUCUUUCAGCAGGGACGAAGCGAAAGUGACGGUACCUGCAGAAGAAGCACCGGCCAACUACGUG